CCUACGGGAGGCAGCAGUGGGGAAUCUUGCGCAAUGGGGGAAACCCUGACGCAGCGACGCCGCGUGCGGGAUGAAGGCCUUCGGGUUGUAAACCGCUUUCAGCAGGGACGAAAUUGACGGUACCUGCAGAAGAAGGCCCGGCCAACUACGUGCCAGCAGCCGCGGUAAUACGUAGGGGCCUAGCGUUGUCCGGAUUUAUUGGGCGUAAAGAGCUCGUAGGCGGUUCGGUAAGUCAGGUGUGAAAUCUCCACGCUCAACGUGGAGGCGCCACCUGAAACUGCCGUGACUCGAGUCCGGUAGGGGAGUGUGGAAUUCCCGGUGUAGCGGUGAAAUGCGCAGAUAUCGGGAGGAACACCAGUAGCGAAGGCGGCACUCUGGGCCGGUACUGACGCUGAGGAGCGAAAGCGUGGGGAGCGAACAGGAUUAGAUACCCCAGUAGU
RNAcentral lists this ribosomal RNA (440 nucleotides) under uncultured bacterium. RNAcentral's name for it is "bacterial SSU rRNA". It matches the Rfam family "Bacterial small subunit ribosomal RNA", at positions 338 to 794 of the family's 1533-position model. The record is from RNAcentral.